RNAcentral lists this ribosomal RNA (528 nucleotides) under Teleopsis dalmanni. RNAcentral describes it as "partial 16S ribosomal RNA". The stretch from base 277 to 435 matches the Rfam family "Bacterial large subunit ribosomal RNA", at positions 2473 to 2632 of the family's 2925-position model. Lineage: Eukaryota; Metazoa; Arthropoda; Insecta; Diptera; Diopsidae. The record is from RNAcentral.
AAAGAAUGGUUGGACGAGAUAUAAGCUGUUUCAUUUAAAAUUUAUAUAGAAUUUUAUUUUUUAGUUAAAAAGCUAAAAUAUAAUCAAAAGACGAGAAGACCCUAUAAAUCUUAAUUAUUUAAUAAUUUUUAAUUUAUUUUGGUUUUUUUUAUUAUAAGUUUGUUAAAUAAUUUUAUUGGGGUGAUAUUAAAAUUUAAAUAACUUUUAAUACUUUUUGUCAUUUAUUUAUGAUUAAGUGAUCCAUUAUUAGUGAUUAAAAAAUUAAGUUACUUUAGGGAUAACAGCGUAAUUUUUUUGGAGAGUUCUUAUCGAUAAAAAAGUUUGCGACCUCGAUGUUGGAUUAAGAUUCAUAUUUAAGUGUAGAAGUUUAAAUAUUAAGUCUGUUCGACUUUUUAUUCUUACAUGAUCUGAGUUCAAACCGGUGUAAGCCAGGUUGGUUUCUAUCUUUGAUUUAAUAAAAUAUUUUAGUACGAAAGGAAUUAAUAUUUAUUUUUAAGAAAUUAUUUUAUGAAUAAAUUUUAUUACUAU